AUUCACGGAGAGUUUGAUCCUGGCUCAGGACGAACGCUGGCGGCGUGCUUAACACAUGCAAGUCGAACGAUGAAGCCCUUCGGGGUGGAUUAGUGGCGAACGGGUAACGACGUGGGCAAUCUGCCCUUCACUCUGGGCAAGCCACACGAGACCUAUACCGGAUACCUGCCCGGGCAUCCAGGUUAAAAACUCGGCGGUGAAAGGAUGAGCCGCGGCCUAUCCGCUUGUUGGUGGUAGUGGCUCACCGACGGCGACGACGUACCAACCUGGGAGGGCGACCGUACCACUGGGACUGAGACACGGCUCCAGACUCCCCACGGGGAGGAGCGGUGAGGAAUAUUGCACAAUGGGCGAAAGCCUGAUGCAGCGACGCCGCGUGAGGAUGACGGCCUUCGGGUUAAUUAAACCUCUUUCAGCGGGAAAGAAGCAAAGUGACCCGGUACCUGCAGAAAAGCUCCAGUGCUAACUCAGCAGCCCUGAUUUGUGGGCGCAAACGUUGGAAUCCCUUAUUGGGCGUAAAAAGAAGCUCUGCGUAGGCUUGUCACGUCGGGGUGUGAAAGCCCGGAGACCCGUGGUCUGCAUUCCGACCAGGCUAGCUAGCAGUGUGGUGGGGAGAUCGGAAUUCCCUGUUAUAGCGGUGAAAUGCGUCGGGAGGAAACACCGGUGGCGGAUCUACUGGGUAUUACUGACGCUGAGGGCAGCGUGGGGGACAAUGGGAUUAGGAUACCCUGGUCCGCUCGUAAACGGUUGGAACGUGUUGGCGACAUUCCACGUCGUCGGUGCACCGCAACUAACGCAUUAAGUUCCCCCGCCGCCGGAGUACGGCCCUGGAGGCUAAAACUCAAAGGAAUUGACGGGGGUGCCAAGCAGCGGGCAUGUGGCUAAUUCGACGCAACCGCGGGAACCUUACCAAAGGCUGACAUCCCGGAAAACGAUCAGAGAUUGGUCCAAUUGGUCGGUGCAUGAGGUGGUGCGUCCCGUCAGCUCUGUUUCGUGAGUCAUGUUGGGUUCAAGUCCCGCAACGAGCGCAACCCUUGUUCUGUAUGUUGCCAGCAUGCCCUUCAGGGUAGAGUUUCUGGGGACUGCCGAGGCUAGAUCCAACUCGGAGGAAGGUGGGGAACGACGCAUCAAGUCAUCCCCCUUAUACGGGCUGUCACGUGCUACAAUGGCAGGCUGUGAGCUUGGACAAUGAAAGCCGUGAGGGCGAACGAAUCUCAAAGCUGUCUCAGUUCGGAUUGAGUCUAUCUCGACCCCAUGAAGUCUGGGUUGCUAAUGUCAUCGCAGAUCAGCAUUCUGCGGUGAAACGUUCCCGGGCCUUGUACCACACCGCCCGUCGUCAAAAGUGAACACCAAGCCACCGGUGGCCCAACCCCUUGUGGAGGGAACGUCGAAAGGUGGGACUGGCCAGUUAGGACGAAAGUCAAUGGUGGCCAUUACCGGAAGUUGGCGCGGGGAUCUUCCUUUCUA
This 1467-nucleotide ribosomal RNA is filed under the name Streptomyces sp. RLB3-5. RNAcentral describes it as "bacterial SSU rRNA". It matches the Rfam family "Bacterial small subunit ribosomal RNA". Lineage: Bacteria; Bacillati; Actinomycetota; Actinomycetes; Kitasatosporales; Streptomycetaceae. The record is from RNAcentral.